Molecule: signal recognition particle RNA, 99 nt
Filed under: Subdoligranulum sp. DSM 23681
Lineage: Bacteria; Bacillati; Bacillota; Clostridia; Eubacteriales; Oscillospiraceae
Also listed under: 1 other name
Description: signal recognition particle sRNA small type
Rfam family: Bacterial small signal recognition particle RNA
About the family: The signal recognition particle (SRP) is a universally conserved ribonucleoprotein involved in the co-translational targeting of proteins to membranes. Archaeal SRP consists of a 7S RNA and homologues of the eukaryotic SRP19 and SRP54 proteins.
Source: RNAcentral
AUGUGGGCCCCGUGCGCGGGGACCGCGUGAACCAUGUCAGGCGGGGAACCGAGCAGCAUUAAGCGUUGGCGCCCCGGUGCUGCGGCAAGCCUGCAUCCG